GUGGCAGCCGCCGCGGUAAUACGGAGGGUGCAAGCGUUAUCCGGAUUCAUUGGGUUUAAAAGGUGCGCAGGCGGAUACUUAAGUCAGUGGUGAAAUCCCGGGGCUCAACCCCGGAACUGCCAUUGAUACUGAAUAUCUGGAAUACGGUUGAAGUGGGCGGAAUGUAGCAUGUAGCGGUGAAAUGCAUAGAGAUGCUACAGAACACCGAUCGCGAAGGCAGCUCACUAAGCCGAUAUUGACGCUCAGGCACGAAAGCGUGGGGAGCGAACAGGAUUAGAUACCCUGGUAGUCCACGCCGUAAACGAUGAUAACUCGUUGUUGGCGACACACAGUCAGCGACUAAGCGAAAGCGAUAAGUUAUCCACCUGGGGAGUACGAUCGCAAGGUUGAAACUUAAAUGAAUUGGACGG
Molecule: ribosomal RNA, 410 nt
Filed under: uncultured bacterium
Lineage: Bacteria
Description: bacterial SSU rRNA
Rfam family: Bacterial small subunit ribosomal RNA
Source: RNAcentral